GGAACUUACGAGGAAAGUUUUUCCAGUCUCUCCGCAGACCCUUGCAUCUCUUCUCUUUUUGUUUAGACCCUUGACCACCACCCCCUAUUCUAAUCUUAACUCCUCUGCUACUCAGUUCCAAUCCUAACCCAAGCCCUAGUCCCUAAAUUUAUAAUCCUUUAAUCCUAGACCUGGUCUCUAGAUCCUGAGCCCUUGAUGCUUAUCUUCUAACCUCCUAAUCCCAACCUCAAAUCCCUAAACCUCAACCCAUGAAUUCUGACCUGAUUCUCAAACCCCAGGCCCCCAACCCUGACUCCAAAAAUGACAACCCAUUACUUCUCCCUACACGGAAUCACUGACGGAGUUGUAGCAACUGAAUCUGCAGUAGGCCAAAGGACCCAGUGAGUUAGCCAGCAAACUACUCUAAAUAAAAGAUAUGGUGGAUAACAGCAAGCCUAAACAAAUCUUCCUCAAAGAUGAGCAACACAAGUCCCAGUCAUUAUGACAAUACCUCUGUAUCUCAACAAAGGGGCUUAAAUCAGCAAGUCAUCCCAGCCCCUGAAGGAAGAGAACAGUCCUUGUAAGUUGCAAAGCUCUCAGAGGACAUGGGUGGCUCAGUAAAGCCCCUGUUCUAGGACACAGCAAAAGAAGCAACACAAUAACCACCAUGGCCCAGCAGAUGAGGGCCACAGCCAGCAUCGCCACCCCUGAGUCUGCCUUCCCAGUAUGAUCAUCAGGACUUCAGAAGUCCCAGCAAACCAGUUAAACAGAAGACAAGAACCUUAUGUGAAACCAAAUUCCAGACA
Molecule: long non-coding RNA, 785 nt
Filed under: Homo sapiens (human)
Lineage: Eukaryota; Metazoa; Chordata; Mammalia; Primates; Hominidae
Description: long non-coding RNA NONHSAT245526
Source: RNAcentral